Molecule: ribosomal RNA, 422 nt
Filed under: uncultured bacterium
Lineage: Bacteria
Description: bacterial SSU rRNA
Rfam family: Bacterial small subunit ribosomal RNA
Source: RNAcentral
UGAGGAAUAUUGGGCAAUGCCCGCAAGGGUGACCCAGCAACGCCGCGUGGAGGAUGAAUGUCGUAAGAUUGUAAACUCCUGUUAGAGGGGGAGAAUAGUACCGGUUGGACCGGUAUAUGACUGUACCCUCAGAGAAAGCCCCGGCUAACUACGUGCCAGCAGCCGCGGUAAUACGUAGGGGGCAAGCGUUGUCCGGAUUUACUGGGUGUAAAGGGCGCGCAGGCGGGAUAAAAAGUCAGUGGUGAAAUCCUACAGCUUAACUGUAGAACUGCCUUUGAUACUUUUAUUCUUGAGUUCGGGAGAGAGAGACGGAAUUCCAGGUGUAGUGGUGAAAUACGUAGAUAUCUGGAAGAACACCAGUUGCGAAGGCGGUCUCUUGGUCCGACACUGACGCUGAGGCGCGAAAGCGUGGGGAGCAAACA